This 8206-nucleotide long non-coding RNA is filed under the name Podarcis lilfordi (Lilford's wall lizard). Lineage: Eukaryota; Metazoa; Chordata; Lepidosauria; Squamata; Lacertidae. The record is from RNAcentral.
CUGUUGUAAUGUUACAUAUUAUUUACUUGUGAGAUAAACAACAUAUUUUUUUUACCGAAUAAUAACGAGUUAUAAGUGGCAUUCCCAACUCUAAACUGAUGGCAACAACAACAAUACAGAAGCUUAAGGUACUAGAAGUACAAUCCUGCUUAUAAAAUCAAAAUGACAAGUUUGGGAAACUGCAAUGGGAAUACUAAGCUACUGGAACACUGUGCUGCCCCCCCCCCAAUGGUGGAUGUUCAGUUUCUGUGCAUAGUGUUCAGUUUGUGCAAAGUUAUCUCUUGCCAAAGUUCUCCUUUGUGUGCCUAUAGUUCUAAAGACAUAAGGAUGAAACUUCAGGUUGCACAUCUUGAUAUAUUUUAUUUGAAGGGGCAGCUAAAGACAUGUGGUUGCCUGAGGCAAAGGGCAAGAGGAUGCCCUCCCCUUAUUCCACAUACAGAAGCAAACUAGAUUGACAGUUGAAUUAUGCUUUGAUGCUGCCAAGAGGAUGAUGCCAUGCACUGCACCUAUGGACAGCGGGCUUUUUUAGGAGGUGCACUGGAUGGUAGGCUGCUUGGCACCCACAGCUCUGUUCUCCAACACCUCUCCAUCAUUUCUUAUCCCCACCACAGCAUCUGCAUUCUGAGGCAACUGCCUCCCUGCCUAAUGGUAGGGCUGACUCUGUUUAUUUGUGUUAUCUUGGUAGGGCUUUUACCUAUGACUGGCUGUGGGACUGGAGGGCUUAAGAAGUGGAAAAUCUAUGUUCUAGGGCCGUCCACUGACUUUAUUGGGAAUGUUUUAUGCUAUGUUUUCUGUUACCACAAGAUAACACCAACUCAAAGGGGAGAAAAUGAGUCCUGGGAGAUCAUAGGCCUUUGUGGCAUACCCCACUUCACACCCUUUUGCUAACAGUGUACCAUUUGUAGUGAUCAAAUUACCAUCAAUUUGAUCACUAUUAUAACUUUACAAAUGUUUAUAGAGCAUUCUGCUUAUAUAACUUUUCUAUUUUGAAUCUGUAAGUGGGGUUCAUUAAAUGUCUCCUUGUACACCCAUGUUUGUGUUUAAAAUGAAAUUGGUUUGGGAACCUGAUCUAGAUUAGAAACAUUGAGUAGAUGGAGGGGUGUUUAAUUCCCCUGCACUGUGGUCCUGACUAAGAUUCUCCACCGACACCAAAAGUGGCUGGGGCAAAUAGUCGCUCUGAAGGGGUAUUUUCAUCAUGACAAUGGGACCAGGAGAAUCAAUCCAGAUUGUAGCUCCACCCCCUAGCUGCUUUUCAUUCAAAAACCACAUACACACAAAUGAAAAGCCAUAUUUAAGAUACUCUUUAGCUUGGCUCACAGAGGAUGGAACAGAUAUCUAAGGAUUAGGUUGCUGAGAUUUGUCCAUUAAAAUCAUAUUUGCAAGGUUCACUUGGAACGUAAUAAAGAUUUUAGGAAAUUUACAGAAUUUUUAUUCCAGUUUAGUAGGCAGUGACUAUCAUGAAAGUACUCACACAAUUUCUUUCCCCUAGAAUAUUGAAAUGUUAAGCUAUUAGGGGAAAUGAGCAUAGGAGUUACGCACCCACACUAACUCAUAAUUGCAUGGUACAAUAAUUUUCAUUGACCAUAAAUAGAAAAUGUAAUUUUGGAAGUAGGAAGCUAUUUUUACUAAGAUAGCUAUUUACAUUUCAAGUAUUUGAAUAUACGUGGGUGGGUUGUUUCCUGCAUUAACACUCUUCUCUGUGCCAAUUGAAAAAUGUCAACCCAGAACUAUUUCAGAUUUUGCUAACUGCAUUUCCUGGCAGCCUUCAUGCCAUGUUAAAUUCUGCUUUAGAGAGUCGCCUGAACUUCAAGAACAGCUGUGUGUGUGUGUGUUUUUAUGUGUGUGAGCAUCUGAAGAGUUGCAGUGGAAAGGCAGGGCAGUGGCAUCCCAUCCAAUAUGAUUAGCCAAUCAGUUUUAGUUGGGAAAUAUCACUUAAGUCUGCAUAAUAGCACUAAUGCUUAUGGGAUAAGCACUGUAAAUGCAACCUUUGAAAGGAACUGCUGGAUAAUUCUUUUUCUCUCUUUGUUAUAUUGAUGACAGGAUCAGGACAUGAGGAUACUGGUAGCACUCAGGCAAGUAUCUCCAGCCGGUAGAAGUGCUGUUAUGCAUGACACCAGUCCAUCCAGCUACCAGUACACCCAACAGUUUAUUUUGGUAUUUGAUGGCUAACUUUAUCCCAUCAUGUAUUCUAAUAUACAUAUAAGCAGUGAUAAGUCAUAUAAUUUUGAUGCUGUCAUAUAAAGAUUUUCCUAGAAACCCUAGUGUAAUGACUUUGGGUGUUUGACUCCACCAUUCACCUAGAGCCCUAUGGCAUGCCAUUCUGGCAUAGAUUCUCUUUCUGAAAACCCACCUGAUCUUGGCUGCUAUGUGAAUUGGUGAGGGUAGGAAAGGCCACUGAGAGUUGCAUGCAUUAAGUCUGUAUGUUUAAAAGGUAAAGGUAAAGGUACCCCUGCCCGUAUGGGCCAGUCGUGACCGACUCUAGGGUUGCGUGCUCAUCUCGCUCAAGAGGCCGUGAGCCGGCGCCGUCCGAAGACACUUCCGGGUCAUGUGGCCAGCGUGAUGAAGCUGCAACUGGCGAGCCAGCACCAGUGCCGCACAUGGAAACGCCUUCCCGCUAUAAAGCGGUACCUAUUUAUCUACUUGCACUCAGGGGUGCUUUUGAACUGCUAGGUGGGCAGGAGCUGGGACCGAACGAGCUCACCCCGCUGUGGGGAUUCGAACCGCCGACCUUACGAUUAGCAAGUCAUAGGCACUGAGGUUUACCCACAGCGCCACCCACGUCCCUCUGUAUGUUUAAAGUGGCUUAAAGCACUGUAGCCCUAGCACAAUGAAUCCACUCAAAAAACAACAGACUUUUUUGUGAUUUGUUAAGUGACAGGGGAAUGGAUUGAAAAAUGUGAUAUUAAUGAAUGAUUAAUGCAGAGAUGUGUAAACAGCCUGCAAACAAAUCAGGUUGGAUGCAGGAUGAAUAUUCAUUGUCAUAUAGCCACCCCAUAAAAAACUAAAAAUGAAUGCUAAGUAAAGGCUGGGCAUGAUCUAACCAUCGUGUCAGCUCUGUGCCAGCCAAUCAGGAGCAAUGCUUGAUGAGCAGGUUGUCUGGAAAAACCCUGAUUGUUAGUGCCAUUCCCAUGACUGUUGCCCAUUCCUCCCAGGGAUGUAGUAAGGGGUCCAUGCACUCUUGAGGCCCCUUAAGGAUAUUUCUCUCUGUAUAAGGAGGCAAGGAGAGUCCAGCUCCACUGUUUCACUUCUAAUCCUGGAAGAAAAACCAGCACUUCUUAAUGUAUCACAUACAUUUAGAGAUAUUCCUUCCUUCCUUCCCUCACGUCUCACUCUAGUCAGGCUCUGUCAGACACCAAACAAUUCUGUGAGGCCAAAUGAUAGAGGACCACUAAUCCAGAUUUCAGCAUUUGGGCCAGCACAAGUGUUUGUAUCAGUAGAUAUGAAACUACUGAGCUGGAAGCAUUUUUGUGAUGCUGUCAAAGAAGUCUAUUGGCUAAAAGCCACUGUGGUUAUUUUUACAGCUCCUCUCAAGGUCUGUGACUGACAGGAGAAGAAUCAUCUUGUCUCAGACAAAAAUGGUACUUUUGAGGCUGUUUCUAUAGAGCUAGCUUGAAUGCGGUGCUGUACCAUAGUGACACAAUUUGUGUCCAAAGUAUUUAUUUAAAAAGAAGAAGAUGAAGAAGAGGUAAGCUGAAGCAAUUAAACAUAGAAAGGGAAAAAUGAAUGUUAGCUCAAUUUACCAUUAAGAAUUUUAGAACCAGUAAGGGAGCUUACUGGCAAACAGGGGCUGGCUUGCCUCUCAGUGUUAAUUUUUGGAGGUUCACGCCCAGCCUCAGUAAUUGCUGGGAGCUGCGGCCAGUCUCAUUUAUAAAUAGGGGGUGGAGCUGACAAUAGCCAGGCAGUUGGCUCUGGAGAUUCACCCUCCCUACCCUCCCUUUGUUUAAUGUUUCUUGUUUGCAGGUUAACUUUUUCUUCCUGUUUAACGGGCACUGCUACAGUCUUUGACUGGUUGCUAUCGAAGGACCGGGAAGAAAUUUUCCUGCAUUGGCAGGUUUUGUCUUCCCCGUAGCAUUUCAUCACAACUUUGGUGGUUAUGGCCUUGGGUGGAAUCCUUUAGUCUUUCCUUCCCUAUAUAUGGGGGGCGUGGCGUGAAGUGGUGACUCACCCCCCUGCGGCAGUGAUUCCAGGGUCCCCCUCUUAAAGGGGUUAUAUAUAUAUAUGGGUGUCACUGGCCAUACACUGAAAGGUUGUCAGUGAACUACCCUGCGUGCGGGGAUAUAGGCUUGGCUGCCUGCUACACUUGCAUCUCGUAGAUCACCCCCAUAUCCCAUUUACCCUGGUGAGCCCAAGUUCCCCCCGACUGGGGGGCUGGGCCAAGCCAAGUUCUUCCUACAUUUGGAAGUUUAAUAAAGUUGUGGCAUAAUUUUAAUUCCAUAUAACAUUUUCAGAGUCUUUAUUCCUUCCUUAUGAUCCCUGGGGGCUGGGGCUGUCGCCGCCUGGUCAUGCAAUAAUUAUUAUUUAUACCCUGUCCAUCUGGGUGAGUUUCCCCAGCCACUCUGUUCAUCACAAUUUAGAGAUGGAAGAUACAGUACUUCUUUCACCUGGCAUCCAGAAGCCACAAGGAAAUGAUUUCAUUUUAUUUGUACCACACUUUUUAGCUAAGAUCCACCCCCAAAGCAGUUUACAAUAAAAUUCCAGUACCUGAGCUAGUUACUGCUACUGCAACUUAAUCAGCCUGGAUUUCAAAGUCUCAGCAGGGAUUAAAGUGCAGGGCUAUAGCUCAGUUGGUAGACUGUGGUGCUGAUAAUGCCAAGGUCGCAGGUUCAAUCCCCAUAAGGGACAGCUGCAUAUUUCUGCCUCAAUUUCCAGUUCAGUGUUCCAGUUUUAAUUCAGCUGCAAGGACUCCUGUAGAUGCAACUUUGCCUCAUUGUCACAUGUUCUGUACCCCUGUUUCUCAUGGUUCUCCUUCCAAGUAGAACCCCUGCUUGAUUUAGUACCUGAAUUAUUGCAAGUUCAAGGGAGUUUUUAGAGAGAAGCUGUCAGCUAAAAGAAAUUGUCUUUCAAUGAGAUUUCAAUGUGCUCAAUUAGAGAAAAGUACUUUUUUUGCACAACUGUUGCCAAGAAAUCGUGGAUGUAACGGACAGAAGUUUUCCUGCCUAAUCUUCUGAAGCUGAUGAAAGGUAGGAGCAAAGGCCAAACUAGAGGGGGUGCCACUCACACAAUUAGCAAUUGCAUAAAUAGCCUUUAAAGUAGACUGUAGACAUUGGAAAGCAAUUGGGACUGGGACCCUCAUGUCUGAGUUAGGGGACACUUUGAGUUAGUGUGGUGUAGUGGGUAAGAGCGGUAGACUCGUUAUCUGGUGAACCGGGUUCGCAUCUCCGCUCCUCCACAUGCAGCUGCUGGGUGACCUUGGGCUAGUCACACUUCUCUGAAGUCUCUCAGCCUCACUCACCUCACAGAGUGUUUGUUGUGGGGGAGGAAGGGAAAGGAGAUUGUUAGCCGCUUUGAGACUCCUUAGGGUAGUGAUAAAGCAGGAUAUCAAAUCCAAACUCUUCUUCUUCUUCUUUGUUCCCUGCUGUAGCCACAGUCAGUGGUCAGCUCCUGAGUUUUGUAUUGGGAGGAAAAAUCCCAUUUGCUUCAAUGGGAGCUUCUUUGUAUUGUAAGGAGUGGAAGCCUUGAUGUGGAUUAGAACUGUAGCACCAAGCAAAGUAUUAAAGCCCCCUCACCAAAUGCCAGAGUCCUGAUCCCACCCCCCAUGGUAAAAAAGAAGGAAAAAACUAUUCACGUAAUUGUGAAUUGUGGUGUUAUGUGUAGUUUGGCCCUAAGCCUUGAUGCUGCUCUGUCAAUGUCUGAUGAAAGAAUGAUUAGGAAUAUUGAUGUUUUCCCUCCAAAUCUUCAUUUGAGGGGAAACAGAAGCUUUAUAUAUAUAUAUAUAUAUAUAUAUAUAUAUAUAUAUAUACAUAUAUAUACACACACACUUUUUUUUUUUUUAAAAAAGAUGCAUAUUCUAAAUAGAGGGUCUCCCCCAAUCAAUUUGUAAUAGUUUGUGUCAUUCAAGUGAUCCACUUUCCUUUUAGGCCAUAGCCCUAUUAUCUCAAGCCCAUCAUCGUGUGUUAGAUCUAUCGCAGUAAUCCACAUUUGUUCUCGGAAGAAUCUCUAAUCAGAAUCCCUAUUCUUCUCUCUUUCUAAAAAUCAUUUUUAUCUGGCAGCAGGGGGAACAGGAAGUGGCACAUUCCCAUUUUGCCUCAGGUAGUGAAAUGGGAUGGGCCAUCCAGGCUGUGAGAGUGAUGGAAACGAACAGUACAUAUAAGUUUGCCUAUGCACAGUGUAUGCACAUUUGUGACAUGUGGGCCCACAGGGCUGCAUCUUUUACGUAAUUACUUAGCUACAUCCUUGCCUCUGAUGAUGAUCUUUCCAUAUGAGCAGGUUCUGGUGGAGGUAGGUCAGGCAUAGGCAAACUCGGCCCUCCAGAUGUUUUGGGACUACAACUCCCAUCAUCCCUAGCUAACAGGACCAGUGGUCAGGGAUGAUGGGAGUUGUAGUCCCAAAACAUCUGGAGGGCCGAGUUUGUCCAUGCCUGAGGUAGGUGAUCCUUGCUUUGGAUUGUGCUGUUUUAAAACGUACAUUUUUUUAAAAAAAAUGAAUAAACACUGUACUAUGUCUAGCUUGCCUUUUUAUAGUUACUACUUGAUAGAUAGGAGAACGUAAACACAUAGGCCAAUUGGAUUUAGAAGCUUUGUGUUCAGUUAGGUUCUGUCCUUCCUUUCAGUUCUUUAUUGGGUGUUAUUUAAGACAGGGAUUUUGAAUGUGGGGGACAUAGUCUCAUUUUAAAAUACAAUUCUGCUUUAUUGUAAAAUACCCUAAUCAGGUUUAUACCUAACAUCUUGUUAGUCACUGCCGGCUCUAUAAAACAAGGCACCAUGUCCCCUUAGCUGCCGUGUCUACAUUUACAAUUCAUGAAGCAUCCAGCAUGACACUUCAGAUUUAUAUACCUAUAAACAUUUAGGUUUCAGAGUAAAUGAAGGACUGUAUAUUAACAUCUCUACUCGUUUCUUAUUCCAGUAUUUCAGACUAACUGGAAGCAUGUUGGGAAGCAGAUACAAGAGACCAGAAACUCGCAUUGCACAAAUCAGAAAGAAAUCAACCUGGUCAUAAAGCUAAGUGGCUCUCACCUAGAUCUGAAAAAUGAACUUCAAGAUAUAAAGGCUGGAAACAGGAGAAGUGUAAUGUCAUUAGAAGGGAGUGAACGGGAUAGGCCAGCUUUUAUUUUUGAGCUCCAAAAUAUAAACAAUGUUGAGUAUCAUUGUCUAAACAAAAGUGUUUUCAGCAGGUGCCAAAAAGAGUGCAGUGAUAACACCUGCCUGAUUUCAAUAGGCAGGGAGUUCCAAAGUUUAGGUGCUGCCACAUUAAAAAACUGAGUUGGCAUAAAGCUAAACUGAUGGUCAGAAGUAGCGGCAUCAGCACAAUUGGCAGUAAGCAUCAUGUGCAUCUCAAGGAGGCAAGAAGCGAUGAUAACAGUAAAAAACCAGCCUACCCUAAUGCAGAUCACCCCCUUGUGGGACUUCAUCUCUUUUUUCCUUUGCCCUCCCGGCAAGGCAUUGCCAGUCGUCCUUGCCCUUUCCUUUCCUUUCCUUUGCCGUCUCCCUCUGUUGUUUCUGCGGCUGUCAAUAUUUAGAUUGCAAACUCCAUGGGGCAGGGAGCUGUCUUUUUUGUAAUGCUUGUGUUGUUGUACAAUGGUGACAUUGUAUAAAUAAUUAAUGCCGCCAAUAACUCUCUCCAAAUAGUGUCUGCGUGCAUAUGGUUAAAACAAGGAGCAUUGGGUAACCUUCAGGAAGAAGAUAUACGGGUGGCUUAUGUUGCAAUACAACAGUUGACCCAGCACAGCUGCAGCUUGUUUUCUGACUGUAAUAAACUGAACACCGAGCUAGAUUUGCUUUUAAUCCCUGCAAAAUGUAAAAUGGAUCGGCCUGUUUCUAAUGCUAAUCAGGUCUUUGUGCCCCGCUUGUGGGUUUCCCUAAAGCAUCUGCUUGCCCGGUGUUGCAAAUAGGUUGCGGACUCUUGGUCUGAUCCAGUAAGUUUCUUUUUAUGUUCUUAUACAGAGCCAUGCUUUAUACAGUACACAUUUUUUAAAGAAAAAUAUACAAUAUGAAAUCAUUAUCAUAAUCAUUUUAGAACCAAGCUGUUAGAUUAAACUCUUUGAAAUUGG